Molecule: long non-coding RNA, 1360 nt
Organism: Homo sapiens (human)
Lineage: Eukaryota; Metazoa; Chordata; Mammalia; Primates; Hominidae
Source: Ensembl
ACACCAGCCAUGACAGGAUCAAUGCCGUGUGGCUGGAUUGUGACUUCGCAGCAGCCUCUCUCUACGUCUCUCCAACCACAGCCAUAGGAAAGGACACAGGGAAAUUGAAAAGCUGUUUGCUCCUAACCGUGCUUUUAUGGACUGAAUUUGGGAGCUGCCAGAGCAACACGUCUUUGGUUAUUGCAGCACAUUUUCAUUACUGAAGCAGAGAAGAAACCAACCUAAGGAAUUGGGCAGGCCACCAGGGAUAUACACAAAGUGCUCUCACCUCCUGGGGCAUCACCAAAAAGAGACUUUAGUCGCUGGAUCAAAGGCUAUUGGGAACAUUUCACUCAGGAUGAAUUAUCUUGAAAACACCACCUGGAGUAGCCCCAAAUAAGCAGAUGCUUUGGAGCUCCUGGAUGCUGAGUGGUGGCACAGAUUCCCAUCCUGGGGCUCCGUGUCACCAUCCAAUGUCUGGUAACCCCAUCCAUUCCCUUUGUAUCUUCCACAAAGACUUCAGAUCCUCACACUUCAGGCCUUCCAAAAGCUUCUCAAUUGAAGGCCCAAUAGUCUAAGAUCUGAAUAUUGAAUUGCCUUUGCUGGAAAGACAACUGUCUUUGUUUACUGCUUUCUCAAGCAAUUCCUGGCUGUUUAUGCCACCUGAGAUUCUACAUAGUUCUCUCUGGCCUUGUGUUCCAACAUCUAUUAUAUUAGGUACUGUGCCUCUCCUGUUUUUCUUUCCAUUGUGCUAGGGAAGAAUUAAAGGGUCCUUUGAGCCCUCAAGACAGUGAUGUGUAUAGUAUUCAUUGUGUAACAUCUUAUUUGAUUUUUUUUUUUCUUUGAGGUGGAGUCUUGCUCUGUUGCCCAGGCUGGAGAGCAGUGGCGCCAUCUGGGCCCAUUGCAAGCUCCACCUCCUGGGUUCACGCCAUUCUCCUGCCUCAGCCUCCCAAGUAGCUGAGACUACAGGCGCCUGCCACCACGCCCAGCUAAUUUUUUGUAUUUUUAGUAGAGACGGGGUUUCACCGUGUUAGCCAGGAUGGUCUCGAUAUCCUGACCUCGUGAUCCACCCGCCUCAGCCUCCCAAAGUGCUGGGAUUACAGCCGUGAGCCACUGCACCUGGCCCUUGGUUGAAUUUUUAUCCUUACAGUAUUUCCCCUUGACUGGUUACGUUGUGGGUAAUCUUCAACCAAACCUGUUACAGUUUAAUUUUAGCUAAAUAAAUAGUUCCUACUAUUUAGUAAAUAUAUGUAAGUUUAGACAAUUUGUUCUUAUUUCUGUGAGUAGAUUCCCCCCCACUGUAAAUUAGCUUAAUCCUAAUUAAUCUUAAUUAACAUUACUCAGGUUCGUAUUAUAGCAAUAAAAUACAUCAUAAGCACCA